CCCACACACAAUGUUGCAAUCGGUAAUUAGAGGCUCUCCGAGGUGGCCGCCGUUCGACUACCGACCAUGCGGCAGUUGGCCAUCUUGGAUCCUUUGUUCCCUCAGCGGUGUUUGGUCGUCGAGCGCAUGGUACUAAAAACGGCUACUCGACGGUGCGAACACUGCUGAGCUUCCAGGCCGUUCGGGAGCGCUGGGCCGUUCGGUAUUUUGUUCCCUGGAAGGCAAUCGGUAUUUUGAACAUGUAUUUUAAUGAAUGUAUUUUUCGUGCGGCGUUCGGUUGGUUUAGCUGGGAGCGGUAAUCUCACGAAUGAUGCGCUCAGACCCCAGCUAUCCACCGAACGUCCAUUCGUUUAAAUAAACCGCAUAUUCGAAAAGUUAUAUAUUUUAAUGUAAAUUGUUGGUUCUGCUACACGGAGGGAUAAUCCACUUAACG
Pelobates cultripes (western spadefoot toad) is the source of this 433-nucleotide non-coding RNA. NCBI's taxonomy places the organism in Eukaryota, Metazoa, Chordata, Amphibia, Anura, Pelobatidae. The record is from the annotation of a GenBank genome assembly.